Molecule: ribosomal RNA, 181 nt
Filed under: Salinibacillus kushneri
Lineage: Bacteria; Bacillati; Bacillota; Bacilli; Caryophanales; Bacillaceae
Description: 16S rRNA. Bacterial SSU
Rfam family: Bacterial small subunit ribosomal RNA
Source: RNAcentral
UUUUAUUGGAGAGUUUGAUCCUGGCUCAGGACGAACGCUGGCGGCGUGCCUAAUACAUGCAAGUCGAGCGCGGGAAGCAGGCUGAUCCCUUCGGGGUGAAGCCUGUGGAACGAGCGGCGGACGGGUGAGUAACACGUGGGCAACCUGCCUGUAAGUCGGGGAUAACUCCGGGAAACCGGAG